RNAcentral lists this ribosomal RNA (556 nucleotides) under uncultured bacterium. RNAcentral's name for it is "partial 16S ribosomal RNA". It matches the Rfam family "Bacterial small subunit ribosomal RNA", at positions 355 to 932 of the family's 1533-position model. The record is from RNAcentral.
UGGGGAAUAUUGGACAAUGGGCGCAAGCCUGAUCCAGCCAUGCCGCGUGAGUGAUGAAGGCCUUAGGGUUGUAAAGCUCUUUCGCCGGUGAAGAUAAUGAUGGUAACCGGAGAAGAAGCCCCGGCUAACUUCGUGCCAGCAGCCGCGGUAAUACGAAGGGGGCUAGCGUUGCUCGGAAUCACUGGGCGUAAAGCGCACGUAGGCGGAUCGUUAAGUCAGGGGUGAAAUCCUGGAGCUCAACUCCAGAACUGCCCUUGAUACUGGCGAUCUCGAGUUCGAGAGAGGUUGGUGGAACUCCGAGUGUAGAGGUGAAAUUCGUAGAUAUUCGGAAGAACACCAGUGGCGAAGGCGGCCAACUGGCUCGAUACUGACGCUGAGGUGCGAAAGCGUGGGGAGCAAAACAGGAUUAGAUACCCUGGUAGUCCACGCCGUAAACGAUGGAUGCUAGCCGUUGGGGGGUUUACCUCUCAGUGGCGCAGCUAACGCCUUAAGCAUCCCGCCUGGGGAGUACGGUCGCAAGAUUAAAAACUCAAAUGAAUUGACGGGGUCAUAGCUG